RNAcentral lists this ribosomal RNA (460 nucleotides) under uncultured bacterium. Its description in RNAcentral is "partial 16S ribosomal RNA". It matches the Rfam family "Bacterial small subunit ribosomal RNA", at positions 338 to 795 of the family's 1533-position model. The record is from RNAcentral.
CCUACGGGAGGCAGCAGUGAGGAAUAUUGGUCAAUGGUCGGGAGACUGAACCAGCCAAGCCGCGUGAGGGAUGAAGGUCCAGAGUAUCGUAAACCUCUUUUGUCAGGGAACAAAGGCGGGGACGUGUCCCCGGAUGCGUGUACCUGAAGAAAAAGCAUCGGCUAACUCCGUGCCAGCAGCCGCGGUAAUACGGAGGAUGCGAGCGUUAUCCGGAUUUAUUGGGUUUAAAGGGUGCGUAGGCGGUCUGUUAAGUCCGCCGUCAAAGGCCGGGGCUUAACCCAGGCCCCCCGUUUGAAACUGGCAGUCUCGAGUGGGAGAGAAGUAUGCGGAAUUCGUGGUGUAGCGGUGAAAUGCAUAGAUAUCGCGCAGAACUCCGAUUGCGAAGGCAGCAUGCCGGCUCCACACUGACGCUGAGGCACGAAAGCGUGGGUAUCGAACAGGAUUAGAUACCCGAGUAGUC